UACGAAGGGGGCUAGCGUUGCUCGGAAUCACUGGGCAUAAAGCGCACGUAGGCGGCCUACUAAGUCAGGGGUGAAAUCCUGGAGCUCAACUCCAGAACUGCCUUUGAUACUGGUUGGCUUGAGUCCGGGAGAGGUGAGUGGAACUGCGAGUGUAGAGGUGAAAUUCGUAGAUAUUCGCAAGAACACCAGUGGCGAAGGCGGCUCACUGGCCCGGUACUGACGCUGAGGUGCGAAAGCGUGGGGAGCAAACAGG
This 253-nucleotide ribosomal RNA is filed under the name uncultured bacterium. Its description in RNAcentral is "partial 16S ribosomal RNA". It matches the Rfam family "Bacterial small subunit ribosomal RNA", at positions 524 to 776 of the family's 1533-position model. The record is from RNAcentral.